RNA transcript from Andrographis paniculata, 2322 nucleotides. It is a transcript of the gene named heterogeneous nuclear ribonucleoprotein 1-like, with no coding region annotated. The record is from RefSeq and is a predicted model, not a curated record. Lineage: Eukaryota; Viridiplantae; Streptophyta; Magnoliopsida; Lamiales; Acanthaceae. The transcript is spliced from 3 exons.
CGGAGAGGAAUCCUGGCCGUCCAUUCCGCACACCAGAUAUAUAGAACACCCACUUUCUCCCCAUCGUCAGUAAUCGGCUAUCUCCACGGGAAAAAAAGAUCCCCAAUUUCAACGUUCACUCUUUCCCCAGCAGUCCACCAUAUCCUUCUUCCUACAUAGAUAUUGGGAUGGAUUCGGAUCUGGGGAAGUUGUUUAUUGGAGGGAUUUCGUGGGAGACUGACGAGGAGAAGCUGAAGGAGUACUUCAACGGCUAUGGGGAGGUGGUGCAGGCCGUCGUUAUGAGAGACAAAAUUACUGGGAAGCCUCGAGGCUUUGGAUUCGUUGUCUUUGCAGAUCCGAACGUUGUUGAUCGAGUUCUUCAGGAUACGCAUGUUAUUGACGGUCGCACGGUUGAGGCCAAAAGAGCUUUGUCAAGAGAGGAACAGCAGGUUUCAAGAGUUGGAAACUCUGGUGGUGCAAGGAACGUUGGAGGUGCUGGAAGCACUAGAACCAAGAAAAUAUUUGUUGGUGGUCUCCCACCUACUCUGAACGAGGAAGGGUUUCGUCAGUAUUUUGAAGCAUAUGGCACUGUCACUGAUGUUGUAAUAAUGUAUGAUCAACAGACUAACCGUCCUCGCGGAUUUGGUUUUGUUUCCUUUGAUUCUGAGCAAGCCGUAGAUAGGGUUUUGCACAAGACCUUCCAUGAUUUAUAUGGUAAGCAGGUGGAGGUGAAGAGAGCUCUUCCAAAAGAUGCCAAUCCUGGUGGAGCUGGGCGGUCCAUGGGUGGUGGAGGUAGUGGAGGUUAUCAGGGUUAUGGGUCAUCAGCUGGUAAUUUAGGUUCAUAUGAUGGUCGAAUGGAAUCUAGUAGAUACAUGCAUUCACAAAAUGCUGGUGGUGGGUUUCCAUCAUAUGGUUCGUCAGGGUAUAAUGCACCUGGGUAUGGUUAUGGUCCUGCCAAUAAUGGCAUGGGUUAUGGGUAUGGAAAUUAUGGAGGUGCGAACCCUGGGUAUGGUGGUCCUGCUGGAGGCUAUGGAAAUCCUAAUGCUCCUAAUGCCGGAUUCGGCGGUCCUGGUGGUGGAGGCUAUGGAAAUCCUAAUGUUCCCAAUGCUGGCUAUGGAGGUCCUCCAAAUACUCAAAGGAAUUCCUGGGGUGCACAGGCUCCAUCUGGGUAUGGCUAUGGAAGUUCUCAAUGGGGUGCCCCUGGUGGUGCUGGCGGCCCUGGUACUGGUCAGUCUCCUAGUGGGCUUUCUGGUUAUGGCAAUCAAGGCUAUGGUUAUGGUGGUUAUGGAGGGGGAAGUGAUGGAGCUUAUGGUAAUCAAUCUGCUUAUGGUGCUGUUGGUGGGCGAUCAGGAAUCAGCCCUAGUGGUAACACUCCUGCGGGAGAUCUACAUUCUGGUACUGGUGGCUAUAUGGGAGGUGGUUACGGUGAUGGGACUGGUAAUUCAGGAUAUGGAAAUUCAGGUUGGCGAUCUGAUCCAUCUCAAGUCUCUGGUAACUAUGGCGGUGGGUAUGGCAGUGGUUCAACUAGACAGGCUCAGCAGUAAUUCGUUGCUGGAGUUCGGCUAUUUUCUGUAUUGAGGCCUUUUCUGUUCGACACAUUCUCAUUUAUGGUGCAGAGCGUGGAGAUGCUCGUUGCUAAAGUUGGCGAAGUUUCCACUCAAUCUAAUCAUGGAUUUAGUGCCGCUUGCAUGUGUCAUGGGAUGGGACCAUAGAUGUGCACUUCCUGGGUUGAUAUGGUGCUUGCAUUGAAUCUAGACCCGUGGCAUUUGAGCUCGGAUAUCUUAAUUCUCAUUGAGGUAUUAGUAUGGUGAAGAGUUGAAGCCAAGAAGUUUGAUGUGUUGGUCUUCGAAUUCACUUGGUUUAGUUUGCAUGUUAUGUGAUUCAACUAACUGAAAAGUUUUUGUUAACAUAGUUUUUAAGAGAGAGAAUUAGGAUAGUACAUCAAUGCGAGGAACUUAUUUAGCAUAUAUUGAAAUAAUUAGGAAGCUUCUCUUAGAACAUGGAUAAAAGAGUACUUGAUGCCCCUUUAUUUGUUAUUUAUUCUUUUUAAUCAUUUCAUUAUGUGAAGAUAGAAUGAGUUCUAUCAUCAUGGUGGAGCCAAUGAUAGUUGAAGACGAUUACUGAGAUUGCCAUUUGUGAUAUGUCUGUUCUAGAAGGAAGUCAAAGUUUAGCAUUGACGUUUUGUUUUAAGUUGCUGUAAAGCUUGUAGUUGUGCAAUUUCAAUUGAACAUUAGUUUUAUGCAUUUAUCGUUUGGUUUCUACAUGCUCUUGGCUGUUUGUUUAAUGUGAUUGCGAAUAAUGCGUUGGUACCCGCCAGGCUGGUGAUCUUUUAUGGGCUUCAAC